Molecule: ribosomal RNA, 251 nt
Filed under: uncultured bacterium
Lineage: Bacteria
Description: partial 16S ribosomal RNA
Rfam family: Bacterial small subunit ribosomal RNA
Source: RNAcentral
UACGGGGGAGCAAGCGUUGUUCGGAUUUACUGGGCGUAAAGGGCGCGUAGGCGGCGCGACAAGUCACUUGUGAAAUCUCCGGGCUUAACCCGGAGCGGCCAAGUGAUACUGUAGUGCUAGAGUGCGGAAGGGGCUACUGGAAUUCUCGGUGUAGCGGUGAAAUGCGUAGAUAUCGAGAGGAACACCUGCGGCGAAGGCGGGUAGCUGGGCCGACACUGACGCUGAGGCGCGAAAGCCAGGGAGCGAACGGG